UACGAAGGGGGCUAGCGUUGUUCGGAUUUACUGGGCGUAAAGCGCACGUAGGCGGAUCGUUAAGUCGGGGGUGAAAUCCUGGAGCUCAACUCCAGAACUGCCUUCGAUACUGGCGAUCUUGAGUCCGGAAGAGGUGAGUGGAACUCCUAGUGUAGAGGUGGAAUUCGUAGAUAUUAGGAAGAACACCAGUGGCGAAGGCAGCCCCCUGGGUUAACACUGACGCUCAUGCACGAAAGCGUGGGGAGCAAACAGG
Molecule: ribosomal RNA, 253 nt
Filed under: uncultured bacterium
Lineage: Bacteria
Description: partial 16S ribosomal RNA
Rfam family: Bacterial small subunit ribosomal RNA
Source: RNAcentral